Molecule: transfer RNA, 88 nt
Filed under: marine sediment metagenome
Description: tRNA-Ala
Rfam family: tRNA
About the family: Transfer RNA (tRNA) molecules are approximately 80 nucleotides in length. Their secondary structure includes four short double-helical elements and three loops (D, anti-codon, and T loops).
Source: RNAcentral
GGGCGCUUGGUGAAACGGGCAUCAUGUUAGACUUGCAAAUCAAUGAUCAAGAAAUCUUUCGUACUGGGUUCGAGUCCCAGAGAGUCCA